GGCUUGAUUUUUUUGGCUUUAUACUAAAUUUGUAAUGAUGCAGAAAAGAUUAACAUUGCCUCUAUGCAAGAAUGACUUGCAAAUUCAUGAAACAUUUCAUAUUUUU
This 106-nucleotide small nuclear RNA is filed under the name Procavia capensis (Cape rock hyrax). Lineage: Eukaryota; Metazoa; Chordata; Mammalia; Hyracoidea; Procaviidae. The record is from RNAcentral.